ACGAUCAGCCACCCUGGGACUGAGACNCGGCCCAGACUCCUACGGGAGGCAGCAGUGGGGAAUUUUCCGCAAUGGGCGAAAGCCUGACGGAGCAACGCCGCGUGUGGGAAGAAGGCCUUUGGGCUGUCAACCACUUUUCUCAGGGAAGAAGUUCUGACGGUACCUGAGGAAUCAGCCUCGGCUAACUCCGUGCCAGCAGCCGCGGUAAUACGGAGGAGGCAAGCGUUAUUCGGAAUUAUUGGGCGUAAAGCGUCCGCAGGGGGCUCAUCAAGUCUGCUGUUAAAGGUCGGAGCUUAACUCCGGUUGGGCAGUGGAAACUGGUGGGCUAGAGGGCGGCAGGGGUAGAGGGAACUCCCAGUGUAGCGGUGAAAUGCGUAGAGAUUGGGAAGAACACCGGUGGCGAAAGCGCUCUACUGGGUCGCACCUGACCCUCAGGGACGAAAGCUAAGGUAGCGAAAGGGAUUAGAUACCCCUGUAGUCUUAGCCGUAAACGAUGGAUAC
RNAcentral lists this ribosomal RNA (501 nucleotides) under uncultured Cyanothece sp. RNAcentral's name for it is "bacterial SSU rRNA". It matches the Rfam family "Bacterial small subunit ribosomal RNA", at positions 300 to 816 of the family's 1533-position model. The record is from RNAcentral. Lineage: Bacteria; Bacillati; Cyanobacteriota; Cyanophyceae; Gomontiellales; Cyanothecaceae.